AUAUUUUUUUAUCUUUCUAACUUUAGUAUUUAUUUUUAAUUUUUGUUUAUGUGUUAAGAAGUAUGUGUUCUCUACCUAACUGUGUGGGAGACGACAUGUUAGAAGAAGUUGACGAGUUCGAAUAAAUAUGUAGGAAACUUUUACCAAAACUCGGAUAUAACUUAGGGAGAUGGUUGUGCCAGCAUACUAGACAACACUCAACUUCUCACUCUUUCUUUUGACAAAGUCUCUGGUUCUGGUUUUCAAUCCAAGAAUAAAUAUCUCUUCGAAAACAUUGGUGUGCAACUUAAGCUUGUUCCAGAAAACUCUAUUGGCGCAGUCACAGCGUCCUAUUUACCAUCAAAAGCAUGUGGCGUUGCUUGGUAUUCCCAGCAGUUGGAUUCAACAAGCCAAUAGAGAUUGAGUGCACUACAUCUUAAUCAAUCUUUCUAUAUUCAUAUUGCAACUAUAUAUUUGAAAGAUUUAAUUUUUCCUUUUUCUUUUUAGUUAGGCCCUUUUAAAUUCUUUUACUUGUAGUUUUAGCAUGAAGAAAUGCCAUGGUAGAUCCUUUGUAUUGAAGUUGUAUAUUAUUUGUAGUAGUGUUGAUGAAAUUAAUGUUGAAGAGAUGAUUGUAACAUAGAAGUGGGAGUUGGAUAUAUAAAG
Vicia villosa (hairy vetch) is the source of this 642-nucleotide long non-coding RNA. RefSeq lists it as uncharacterized. The transcript is spliced from 3 exons. The record is from RefSeq and is a predicted model, not a curated record. NCBI's taxonomy places the organism in Eukaryota, Viridiplantae, Streptophyta, Magnoliopsida, Fabales, Fabaceae.